RNAcentral lists this ribosomal RNA (113 nucleotides) under Escherichia coli. The record is from RNAcentral. Lineage: Bacteria; Pseudomonadati; Pseudomonadota; Gammaproteobacteria; Enterobacterales; Enterobacteriaceae.
UUCGGCAGUAGCGCGGUGGUCCCACCUGACCCCAUGCCGAACUCAGAAGUGAAACGCCGUAGCGCCGAUGGUAGUGUGGGGUCUCCCCAUGCGAGAGUAGGGAACUGCCAGGC